RNAcentral lists this long non-coding RNA (1372 nucleotides) under Homo sapiens (human). RNAcentral describes it as "HSALNT0186183". Lineage: Eukaryota; Metazoa; Chordata; Mammalia; Primates; Hominidae. The record is from RNAcentral.
UUCAACUUUUCAGAUUAGGUCACAUGGCCAAAUCCUGGCUGUCAUCUGUAGGUGGAAAAGGGAAGAAUAUGUCUUACUUUUCCCAAAAGAACUAACAGCUUGAGGAAGUUUGGUGUGAGAGGUGAGCCCCAGCAAUUUCCAUUCAGUUUGUGCUUCUGAUUUUCUGCUUUCAUACCUGAGACCUGAAGAAGAUGGAAACCCAGAAUGAGCACUGACUGAACAAGAAAAAAGAAAGCUUGCUCUCUAGUCAAAGUACAAGGAAAGGAGAAGCACAGCAAGAAAGAAAACUUUUUGAAAAUAACCUCUCUAUUCCAGCCAAACAAAACGGAAAAUAAGUUGUUGCCCUACUCUCACCCAUCCUAUUUAAGAACUACUAGACCUAGAUAUCCCCCCACAAAAGAAUCUAACAAGUUGCCUCCAAAAUCUCAUUGUGGUGGUAUCAGAGAGGACUAAAUAGGGAGAAUGUGGUCUUCUACCCCACCAAGCAAUAAGGAAGUUCAGCUUUUCCUCUCAGCUUAAAUGGUGUCUUAGGAGGUCUAAUGCAAAGUCAGAACUUUUGCCAUCACUCAGCUGUACAGAACCUGCACCCACUACGUUGUCAUAGAGAUCACCUGAGAAACCAAUUGCCAACACUAGCCCUGCAGUAAAAAGGAAGGAGCUGCCCAUUCCCAUCACUCAAAUGUCAAUAGAGGUCAAGUGAGGAAUCCUGAACUUCUACCUCCAAAUAGCAGUAAUAAGGUGGUGCCCUCUAUCCCCUACCAGAGCAGAGAAAUAUUGUUAAAACAGAAGUUUUAAGUAAAAUCCAGAGUUUCAUAGCACAAUACGAAAAUGUCUGAGUUUUAAUAGACAAUCACUUAUCAUGCCAAGAACCAGGAAGAUGUCAAACUGAAUUAAAAAAAACACUCAGUUGUGGCAGUGGGCUGAGAUCGUGCUGGUGCACUCCAGCCUGGACAACAGAGUGAGACACCAUCUCAAAAAACAAACAAACAAACAAACAAAAAAAACCACUCGAUGGCAAGUUGACAGCAAUAUAAUGAAAAUAAUUGUGUAACAUCACUGAUAUUUUUUGGCUGUGUCCCCACCCAAAUCUCAUCUUGAAUUGUAACUCCCUCAAUUUCCAUGUGUUGUGGGAGGAACCCAGUGGGAGGUAAUUGAAUCAUGGGGACGGGUCUUUCCUGUGCUGUUCUCAUGAUAGUGAAUAAGUCUCAUAAGAUGUGACAGUUUUAAAAAUGGGAGUUUCCCUGCACAGGUUCUCCCUCUUGCCACUGCCAUGUAAGAAGUGGCUUUUGCCUUCCUCCAUGAUGGUGAGACCUCCCCAGCCACAUGGAACUGAAAGUCCAUUAAACUUCUUUCAUUUUUAAACUGCCCAGUC